CAAAUUAGAGCUUGAAUGAAAAAGUAUUUCAUUUACAUUGAAAAGAUUAUUAAAUUAUUAAUUAAUUUGG
RNAcentral lists this transfer RNA (70 nucleotides) under Endromis versicolora. Its description in RNAcentral is "tRNA-Val". The record is from RNAcentral. Lineage: Eukaryota; Metazoa; Arthropoda; Insecta; Lepidoptera; Endromidae.